CAGCUGUGCAUUGAGCACAAAGCGAACUAUUCUUUCGCCUUUUACUAAAGAAUACCGUGAGCUCGUUGCAUUUAAGCAGCAUACUACUAUUUUUGAAGGGUGAUUCCAAUAAUUGGAAACU
Molecule: small nuclear RNA, 121 nt
Organism: Salvia splendens (bonfire salvia)
Lineage: Eukaryota; Viridiplantae; Streptophyta; Magnoliopsida; Lamiales; Lamiaceae
Product: U5 spliceosomal RNA
Exons: 1
Source: RefSeq, a predicted model, not a curated record